CAUCACUACCAGUGAAUGACUCAGUUGAGAAAUGUUUCCUCAAUAAUGCAUGUUUUGGUUCUGUGGAUUCUAAACUAGGUUCUGGAUUCUAAAGUGGAAAUUGUUUUACCAGGGGGCCCAGUAAGAGUCCCAUUAAACUUUAAACUAUGGCUACUGUAGGGUCAUUUAAGUUUCUUCAUGUCAAGAGUCCAGUAAGCAAUAAAAGAAAACAAUGUUGGUAGAGGUAAUUGAUUCCGGCCAUUAGGAGGCCAUCCUCCUAAUGGCCUCCUAGGGGUACUCAGUGGGGUCUGGAAAGCAUAAGUUUGGUUGUCAGGUUAUCUACUGGAUCAUGUCUUGAUACUUUCCUGAUUUUUUCAAGAAAUGGACAAGUACAGCAGCCACAGUAUGGUGUGGUUACCAGAAGCCUAGGCACUCAGGGAUGACUGUCUGGGUAACCCCACCAGUUUCCCAGAAAAAGAGACCAACCAGAAACUUGAAGGAGUUCUUCCCAGAUGGAAUAAAUUUACCGUGUGAAUCACGUGAAUCCAAGGGAUGCAAGGAUUGGCCUAUACUGGAUUGGAUGCUCUGGUAUACUACUCAGAUUUCCUCUUCAGAACUAAUGCAUUUAUCCCCCAGCUAUGAAAUUGUUGGCUGCUGGCAGUCUAUAGCUAAUGCAGUCACUGGAAAUUAUCCUUGGUUGAAGGGACCUAACUUGUCCAAGUCUACACCUAUUUCCAGGAAUAGUUCAAUCCAUUGACUUGUUGAUGCAGGACUACACAGGUCAAGCCUUCUUGUUUUGAUGUGGACAAAUCUGAAGGGAUAUCCCAGCUCCAGACCUCGCAUAGGUCUGAGCUAAAGAGACCUCAUAGGUCUGUGUCAAUUUCUGUCUUUACCCAGUCCUGCUUCUCUCAUUCCUUUAUAGGUGUUGUUCUGGAACUUCCUAAUAAACCAGCUGCAUGCAAAUAUC
RNAcentral lists this long non-coding RNA (946 nucleotides) under Homo sapiens (human). RNAcentral describes it as "HSALNT0313947". The record is from RNAcentral. Lineage: Eukaryota; Metazoa; Chordata; Mammalia; Primates; Hominidae.